AGCUUUGCGCAGUGGCAGUAUCGUAGCCAAUGAGGUUUAUCUGAGGCACGAUUAUUGCUAUAUUGUGUUUUGCAGAACAGAAUUUUUAAUGAUGUCCAGCUUACUGA
Small nuclear RNA from Vulpes vulpes (red fox), 107 nucleotides. Its record names the gene U4. It matches the Rfam family "U4 spliceosomal RNA". From Rfam's summary of the family: U4 small nuclear RNA (U4 snRNA) is a component of the major U2-dependent spliceosome. The structure of U4 snRNA from yeast and human has been reported. Lineage: Eukaryota; Metazoa; Chordata; Mammalia; Carnivora; Canidae. The record is from Ensembl.